This is a long non-coding RNA of Sciurus carolinensis (gray squirrel), 1808 nucleotides long. RefSeq lists it as uncharacterized. Lineage: Eukaryota; Metazoa; Chordata; Mammalia; Rodentia; Sciuridae. The record is from RefSeq and is a predicted model, not a curated record. The transcript is spliced from 3 exons.
UUCCAGCAACAUUUGUGGGCAUGUGGCAUACCAAUGAUGCGGGAGAAGGAAGAGGAGGAAUUUCCAAAUACAGAUUCCUGAAAUACACACACACACACACACACACACACACACACACACACACACAUAUAUAUAUAUAUAUAUAUAUCCCUAAAAGUAUUUGUAGAAAGCACAGGAGACUAAUUAUGUAACAUCAGGAUGGAAAGAUUGCUUAAGCAAGACAGGAAACCCAGAGGCCAUAAAGAAAAAAACCGACUGUUUGAAUACUGGAACAUUUUGAACUUCUGAAUGAUGAAAUAUUUGAAACUUUUAACAGAGGAAGGAUGAAGAUGCCUCAAGUCAAGCACAGACCCCUGGAACCCCGUACCUGCUUCAGACUCUGACUCCUACUCCAUCCCUGGGUGUUUCAAAACACAUGGUCUUGUCUCUCUGCUGACAGAUGUCCAUGCUUAAUGUACAAAAAGUGCCUACGAAUAAGAACAACUUGAACAUCCCAACAGAAAAAUAGACAAGGAAUAUAAACAAAGAAUUCAGAGAAGAAAGGCAGAUGGCUAACAAGCAUAAAAAGAUGUUUGACUUCACUGUUGUCAGAAAAAUGCAAACAUUAAAAAAUUAAUAGAGCCCAGUACUCACAAAGAUAUAUGGAAGAGUACUCUCAUAAACCAUGAAUAUUCGAUCACUAUCUCCAUUUUAUGUGGAAGUUUACUGAGGCUUAUAGAUGUUAUCACUCGCCCAGGUCAAAUAACGAAGCUGCUACUGAGUAGCAGAACCAGGACUGCAGUUGAAGUCCACCUGGUCCCUAAGCCCGUGGUCCUUCCAAUUGCCAUGCUGCUCCCAGAAGUCAAAGGGGGACUUGGAGCAUCAACCAGCAUCAUUGCCUCAGACGGAAGGUGGUCCAGCUUCACCGACAGGAUCGCCUCUGUGUUCCCCUUGUGCCAUAUCCUCAACUGCAGGGUGUGAAAAAGGUGAUGUGCCUAUGGCCUUAUCCACGAUAUUCUGAGAGAAGCAAAGAGGUGUUCCUGGACUCUUCUGCUGAUGAUCAUGGCCCCAAGAAAAGACAAAUUCCUAAUCUAAAGGAGGGAAGUCAAGACUGUGACCUCCUUCCCCUUCCAAGAGGACCAUCCCUGCAUCCUUGCAGAGCUGAGAAGUCCUUGAGCCCUGUUGUCCUCUACAGGGAGUGGAGAAAAGGCCACAGCACAGAAUGUUUUGCUCUGGGCCCCGUCUCCUUGUUUUUCAUGUGCUGGUGCUGUUUUGGCUAAUUCCCUGGCCUCCUGCCUGAACCAAUAUAACAGCGCCACCCUAUCCUGGUUGACAUCCCGGACUUGGCUUCUCCUCUGUGGUCUCAUGGUGCUCACCUGAUGCUGUCUUCCUUAUACACCCUUCCGGAAUUUCUCAGUCAGGGCCCUUCUGGAUAGCCCUGUCCUGCCUGACAAACUGACACUGAAAAUUCCAAAGCUCUCAGGGGUCACUUUGACUCAACAUCCUAUCCCCCUGCACACACGAGCUGGUCAACUUAUAAUGACCCACCUCUGGAUCAUAAAUUCCCUGUGAGGGCACUGACCAUGUCUGCUUUGUCCACCAGUGGUAGGGCCUUGUACAUAGAUGUUUCCCAUAAGACUCUGGUGACUAAAUGAAUACUGGAUGAAUCCACUUAGAUUCCCUUCUCCCCUGCCACAUAUGACAGCUUACAUCUUUGCAGAUAAUCCGCUUGAGUAGUUUUUCUGUAAGUAACCAGCUAAUAAAUAUUUUAAGCUCAUAGGCAAGAAGCAAAUUCUAGGUUCUUAUAUAGGUACUUGAAAGGCAAAAGA